CGGCGGACGGGUGAGUAACACGUGGAUAACCUACCUAUAAGACUGGGAUAACUUCGGGAAACCGGAGCUAAUACCGGAUAAUAUAUUUAACCGCAUGGUUCAAUAGUGAAAGACGGUUUUGCUGUCACUUAUAGAUGGAUCCGCGCCGCAUUAGCUAGUUGGUAAGGUAACGGCUUACCAAGGCAACGAUGCGUAGCCGACCUGAGAGGGUGAUCGGCCACACUGGAACUGAGACACGGUCCAG
RNAcentral lists this ribosomal RNA (244 nucleotides) under uncultured Staphylococcus sp. RNAcentral describes it as "partial 16S ribosomal RNA". It matches the Rfam family "Bacterial small subunit ribosomal RNA", at positions 96 to 334 of the family's 1533-position model. Lineage: Bacteria; Bacillati; Bacillota; Bacilli; Caryophanales; Staphylococcaceae. The record is from RNAcentral.